GCAAAUAUGGGAGAAUGGUAAAAUUUCUCUUUGCCAAGGAGAAGAUGGGCGUUCGAUUCCCAUUAUCCGCCC
This 72-nucleotide transfer RNA is filed under the name Amborella trichopoda. RNAcentral describes it as "tRNA AMTR_s00068t00276110". Lineage: Eukaryota; Viridiplantae; Streptophyta; Magnoliopsida; Amborellales; Amborellaceae. The record is from RNAcentral.